UACGUAGGGGGCGAGCGUUGUCCGGAUUUAUUGGGCGUAAAGAGCGUGUAGGCGGCCAGGUAGGUCAGCUGUGAAAACUCGAGGCUCAACCUCGAGAUGUCGGCUGAAACCAUCUGGCUAGAGUCCGGAAGAGGAGAAUGGAAUUCCCGGUGUAGCGGUGAAAUGCGCAGAUAUCGGGAAGAACACCCGUGGCGAAGGCGGUUCUCUGGGACGGUACUGACGCUGAGACGCGAAAGCGUGGGGAGCGAACCGG
This 253-nucleotide ribosomal RNA is filed under the name uncultured bacterium. RNAcentral describes it as "partial 16S ribosomal RNA". It matches the Rfam family "Bacterial small subunit ribosomal RNA", at positions 524 to 776 of the family's 1533-position model. The record is from RNAcentral.